GAUGAACGCUGACAGCAUGCUUAACACAUGCAAGUCUUUGGCGAAGCUGUGCUUGCACAGCCUAGCCAAGGCGGACGGGUGAGUAACGCGUAAGGAACUUGCCCUGCAGUCAGGGAUAACAGACGGAAACGACUGAUAAGACCUGGUAAAGUCAGGCGGACUCAUGUCCAGCCUGAUGAAAAGAGAUGCUGCAGGAGAGCCUUGCGUCCUAUUAGCUUGUUGGUGGGGUAACGGCCCACCAAGGCGAUGAUAGGUAGCCGGCCUGAGAGGGUGGACGGCCACAAGGGGACGGAGAUACGGCCCUUACUCCUACGGGAGGCAGCAGUGGGGAAUAUUGGACAAUGGGGGCAACCCUGAUCCAGCAAUUCUGUGUGCACGAUGAAGGUUUUCGGAUUGUAAAGUGCUUUCAGCAGGGAAGAAAAAAAUGACGGUACCUGCAGAAGAAGCGACGGCUAAAUACGUG
This 463-nucleotide ribosomal RNA is filed under the name uncultured bacterium. RNAcentral describes it as "partial 16S ribosomal RNA". It matches the Rfam family "Bacterial small subunit ribosomal RNA", at positions 28 to 507 of the family's 1533-position model. The record is from RNAcentral.